Molecule: unclassified non-coding RNA, 526 nt
Filed under: Hevea brasiliensis (rubber tree)
Lineage: Eukaryota; Viridiplantae; Streptophyta; Magnoliopsida; Malpighiales; Euphorbiaceae
Source: RNAcentral
UUUCUUGUGUACAAAACUUUCCCAAAAGCCGGGGUCCUGUGGUGGGAAUACUCAAAGGCUUUGCCGGUUUAAGUGGUGCAAUUUUGACCCAAAUAUAUACAAUGAUCCAUUCCCCUAAUCAUGCAUCUCUCAUAUUCAUGGUUGCAGUAGGGCCAGCAAUGGUAGUGAUUGCUCUAAUGUUCAUUGUAAGACCUGUUGGAGGUCACAGACAAGUUAGACCAUCUGAUGGCACAAGCUUUACAUUUGUAUAUAGUGUGUGCCUUCUAUUGGCUGCUUAUUUGAUGGGGGUCAUGCUUCUUGAAGAUCUGGUUGAUGUGAGCCACACUGUUAUCAUAAUUUUUACAGUGGUUUUGUUUAUUCUCAUUUUACUUCCCAUUGUCAUUCCUAUUUCAUUGAGUUUUUCCCACGAACCUAAAGAUCCAGCAGAAGAGACUCUUUUACCUGAGCCACAGAAACAAGAAGCUGGAAAAUCUGAACCUGAUGCCCCUGAGGUAAUAUUCAGUGAGGUGGAAGAUGAGAAGCCCAA